RNAcentral lists this ribosomal RNA (507 nucleotides) under uncultured bacterium. RNAcentral describes it as "bacterial SSU rRNA". It matches the Rfam family "Bacterial small subunit ribosomal RNA", at positions 791 to 1288 of the family's 1533-position model. The record is from RNAcentral.
UAGUCCACGCCGUAAACGAUGGUCACUAGUUGUUGGGGUCUUGUACCUCAGUGAUUAAGAGAAAUUGAUAAGUGACCCACCUGGGGAGUACGAUCGCAAGAUUGAAACUCAAAGGAAUUGACGGGGGCCCGCACAAGCGGUGGAGUCAUGUAGGUUUAAUUCGAUGAUACGCGAGGAACCUUACCUGGGCUCGAACAUUAUAUGAUCUACUGUGUAAAGCGGUAUUUCCAGUUUACUGGACAUAUAGUGAGGUGCUGCAUGGUUGUCGUCAGCUCGUGCCGUGAGGUGUUGGGUUAAGUCCCGCAACGAGCGCAACCCCUAUUCUUAGUUGCCAGUCUAAGCUUCGGUUAGAGGGACUCUAGGAAGACUGCCACCGUAAGGUGUGAGGAAGGUGGGGAUGACGUCAAAUCAUCAUGGCCUUUAUGCCCAGGGCUACACACGUGCUACAAUGGUAGGUACAGAGGGUAGCGAAGCCGCGAGGUGGAGCCAAUCUCAGAAAACCUAUCA